RNAcentral lists this ribosomal RNA (429 nucleotides) under Chloroflexota bacterium. RNAcentral's name for it is "Chloroflexi bacterium partial 16S ribosomal RNA". It matches the Rfam family "Bacterial small subunit ribosomal RNA", at positions 355 to 776 of the family's 1533-position model. The record is from RNAcentral. Lineage: Bacteria; Bacillati; Chloroflexota.
UGGGGAAUAUUGCACAAUGGGCGCAAGCCUGAUGCAGCCAUGCCGCUUGUGUGAAGAAGGCCUUCGGGUUGUAAAGCACUUUCAGCGGGGAGGAAGGCGGUGAGGUUAAUAACCUCACCGAUUGACGUUACCCGCAGAAGAAGCACCGGCUAACUCCGUGCCAGCAGCCGCGGUAAUACGGAGGGUGCAAGCGUUAAUCGGAAUUACUGGGCGUAAAGCGCACGCAGGCGGUCUGUCAAGUCGGAUGUGAAAUCCCCGGGCUCAACCUGGGAACUGCAUUCGAAACUGGCAGGCUAGAGUCUUGUAGAGGGGGGUAGAAUUCCAGGUGUAGCGGUGAAAUGCGUAGAGAUCUGGAGGAAUACCGGUGGCGAAGGCGGCCCCCUGGACAAAGACUGACGCUCAGGUGCGAAAGCGUGGGGAGCAAACAGG